UGCUGCUAGCUGCUUUCCCACCAUUUUAUUUUCAAGCCACGUCAGUUCAGUUGGCAUUAAUUCUCUGCAUAUAGAGAACCAUGAAUGGGUAAAAUCAUUUGCUUCAACCUUUGUCAUUCUUUUCCUUCAAGAGCUCUGCCAAAAAAAAAUCACACAUUCUUUAACUGAAGGAGAACUGGACUAGGUAUUUGACUGACAGUGUAAUAUUGAAACUUUUUAAAUAUUUUAAAUUUUAGCACAGUAGAUGAGUUAAGUAGCAGGGUGAUAAGACUGUACUGCAUUUCAGUCACAAUUUUGCAUGUUUUUCAGUAUUUGUCUUCUCUGUUCCAGGGUCACAAGGUACAUAUUUUUUCUACUUACACAGUUUACUCUUCUUCCCAUAGGACCACCAAGAUUCAAGCAAGGACAGUGGACCACAGAUGAGCCUGAUGGUGACCACACUACCGCAGGAACAUCAAAGAAGAGGACUUGGACAUCAGCUGAGGUCCAAGCUGUGGAAAAGACACUAAUGUCCUUCAUUGAGUCUGGUAAAGUACCAGGAAAGUCAGACUGCGUUGCCUGUAUUGAGGCUUCACCGAAAGCACUUAAAAACAGAACCUGGACAGCGGUAAAGUUCUAUGUGAAAAAUCGAAUCACUGCAAUGCAGCGUAAAGCUGCAAAAAGAGUUUAACAGCCUAAUCAGCCUGUUAUUAAUUGUUCAUUUGUGCCUUGUUUGCCCCUUUGCAAUGUUUUUACGUUCUGUGCUAGACCAAUGUUUUUGGACGUCAAAAAAAAAACGUUUGGAAAGAAUGGAACUCAUCCAUUUUAAUUAGUUUUAAUUAUGUUUUGAAAAGACAUUCCCGUUCUGACAUAUCUAAAAAUGCCACCUUGCUUAUCAGGGAGUACGGUCUUAUAUAUACUUAUAUUUAUACUUGUAUAUAAUAUGAUAUAUAUAGAUAGAGAUAUAUAUAGAGAGAGCGAGAGAGAGAGAGAUAUAGAGAGAGAUAUAUAGAGAGAGGGAUAUAAAUAUAUGUAUGUGUGGGUAUAUAGAGAUAUAGAAAAAUAGAUAUACACAUACACUGUUUGUUGGAUGUAAGGGGACUGAAUGUUUAACUUUAAAAGGCUGAAAUAAAUGUUAUGUGAAGGCAUAAGCUCAGUUUGUCUGCCCAUUUCGUACAGUAGGUGACUUCUUUUAACCGUCAAAUGUGGUUUGGAAGAAAACAUUGCAUGUGGUGGUUUCGGUAAAAAUAUUGUUUUGUUUUCUGUUAAAGCAGAUCUGAUGCUUCAUAUCUGAUGAAAAUCAACUGACAAACAGAAUUGAUUUAAAAUUAUUUUAUUAGCAUAUGUUCAGUCAUACCAAGUAAAACACUAUACAAAAUGUUACCUUUUGCUCAACUUUUACAACAUUCCUUAAUUUCAUAAAUAGUGUUUGUGUAAUUUCAUAACUUCCUAACUAAUAUUUUAGAAUCAGAUUAAAAAAAUAAAUUAAUGAAAUGAGUAUCUGGCAGUCAGGAUGAGAUUAAUAAAGCAAUCCAUCCAUUUUCUUCCAUUUACCCAAUUCAGGGUGUCAGUCAUUAUGUUAUAUGAUAGUAAGGUUUCAUGGAUCAGUAUUAUUAACUGUAAUCUCAUAGACACAUGACUGGUCCCCAGUAUCAGUAGAUAGGUUAUGUCUGGUCCCCAUUAAAACAAAAAUUCAGGUUAAAAAUUUAUUUGAGAGUGUUUGACUUUUCAAGUCUCAACACUCUCUAGAUGAAUUUAUUAUGAAUUUAGGAGUGAAAAUCAUGUCUUUACACCCUUUGGAAAGGGUGGAUCCCAUCAGGCACCUGUCACUCAGUGGUCCCCACGAUGUAGGAAAAACA
Molecule: long non-coding RNA, 1838 nt
Organism: Oreochromis niloticus (Nile tilapia)
Lineage: Eukaryota; Metazoa; Chordata; Actinopteri; Cichliformes; Cichlidae
Exons: 2
Source: RefSeq, a predicted model, not a curated record